GACGUAGGGGGCGAGCGUUGCCCGGAAUCACUGGGCGUAAAGGGGGCGUAGGCGGUCUCAUAAGUCAGGUGUGAAAUGUCACUGCUCAACGGUGUCAGUGCGCUUGAAACUGUGAGACUUGAGGGUACCAGAGGUAGACGGAAUUACCUGAGUAGGGGUGAAAUCCGUAGAUACAGGUAAGAACGCCAGUGGGGAAGCCGGUCUACUGGGGUGACCCUGACGCUGAGGCCCGAAAGCUAGGGUAGCAAACCGGAUUAGAUACCCGGGUAGUCCUAGCAGUAAACGAUGCUCACUAGGUGUGGGGCAAGAAAGCUCCGUGCUGAAGCAAACGCGAUAAGUGAGCCGCCUGGGGAGUACGCCCGCAAGGGUGAA
This 372-nucleotide ribosomal RNA is filed under the name uncultured bacterium. RNAcentral describes it as "bacterial SSU rRNA". It matches the Rfam family "Bacterial small subunit ribosomal RNA", at positions 524 to 898 of the family's 1533-position model. The record is from RNAcentral.